GAUGAACGCUGGCGGCGUGCUUAACACAUGCAAGUCGAGCGAACAGACGCUAAGCUUGCUUCUCGGAUGGUGGCCGCGGACGUGUGAGUAACGUGAGGAUACCCCACCUUUAAGACAGGGAUAACUUCGUGAAACCGGUGCUAAAACCGUAUUAUAUCUUCAUGCGCAUGGUUCAAAAGCUACAGCCGGUCUGGAUGUCAUUUCUAGAUGGAUCCGGGCUGCAUUAGUUGGUUGGUAGGGUAACGGCUUACGAAGGCGACGAUGCAUAGCCGACCAGAGAGGGUGAUCGCCCACACUGGAGGUGAGACACGGUCCUGAGUCCGACGGGAGGCAGCAGUAGGCAAGGUUGCGCAAUGGGCGGAAGCCUGACGGAGCAGCGCAGCGUGGGUGCAGAAAGUCUUCGGAUCGUAAAACUCUGUUAGUGGGGGAGAACGUAUUUAGAAGGAACGGAGCAUAUCGUGACGGUACCUGAAGAGGAAGCCCCGGCUAACUACGUG
This 497-nucleotide ribosomal RNA is filed under the name uncultured bacterium. Its description in RNAcentral is "partial 16S ribosomal RNA". It matches the Rfam family "Bacterial small subunit ribosomal RNA", at positions 28 to 507 of the family's 1533-position model. The record is from RNAcentral.